GUAUAAAGAAAUCCAUUUUCUGCCGGUCUGGGGACAGGCAGUGCUACAGUAGAGCAGAGGAAAUCCAGACGGGUUGUUUCCAUCUGUCCUGGGGCCUGUCUCUAUAACUCCGCCACACAU
Rattus norvegicus (Norway rat) is the source of this 120-nucleotide small nucleolar RNA. Ensembl annotates it as small nucleolar RNA SNORA55. The record is from Ensembl. NCBI's taxonomy places the organism in Eukaryota, Metazoa, Chordata, Mammalia, Rodentia, Muridae.